AAAUCCAAAGUGAAACAGUGGUUGUCUUCCUUGAAUUUCAACUGCAACUCCUGGUCAAAUGGCGAAGUUUAACUUUGGUUUAUUUCUACAGAAAUCGUACAGUUUGUUUUCUGCAAAAAGAUUACUGGCAAGGACGACAAACAAUAUUUGGAAAACAAUGGACAGAAGAAGUUAUGUUUGUUCAAGUCCAAAUUCCUGACAGAAAAGCAACAUCUUUCCACAUUCAAGGAAAACAAUAUGAUUGUUGCUAUUGGUAUUCUCUAGCCUGCAAUGAGUUAGUUUGCCUUAAACUCCCAAAAUCUGGACUAGAAACAGGAUUUUUUUGUUGCAUCGACAGCCAGGGCUUUUGCCAGAUGAAGAAAUCCAUACAAAUGCCUCUAGUGGGAGAAAAUUUGUUGAUGCCAGGGGAGCCCUCUAGUUUUUCCGUAAUACCUUACAAAAAAACCAAUGCUGAAAAGUUAAACGAGAAAUUUCUUCCCAAAAGUUUUGAGGGAGCAUUAACAUAUUUAUCAGCUCCUGUCUGCAAAAAGAGAAGCUUGCAAUUCGUGAUACAUCUGAAAA
This is a long non-coding RNA of Saccostrea cuccullata (small rock oyster), 561 nucleotides long. RefSeq lists it as uncharacterized. Lineage: Eukaryota; Metazoa; Mollusca; Bivalvia; Ostreida; Ostreidae. The record is from RefSeq and is a predicted model, not a curated record. The transcript is spliced from 3 exons.